AGUGAACGCUGGCGGUAGGCCUAACACAUGCAAGUCGAACGGCAGCACAGUAAGAGCUCGCCCCUACGGGUGGCGAGUGGCGGACGGGUGAGGGAUACAUCGGAAUCUACUUUUUCGGGGGGGAUAACGUAGGGAAACUUACGCUAAUACCGCAUACGACCUACGGGUGAAAGCAGGGGAUCUUCGGACCUUGCGCGAUUGAAUGAGCCGAUGGCGGAUUAGCUAGUUGGCGGGGUAAAGGCCCACCAAGGCGACGAACCGUAGCUGGUCUGAGGGGAUGAUCAGCCACACUUGAACUGAGACACGGUCCAGACUCCUACGGGAGGCAGCAGUGGGGAAUAUUGGACCAUGGGCGCAAGCCUGAUCCAGCCAUACCGCGUGGGUGAAGAAGGCCUUCGGGUUGUAAAGCCCUUUUGUUGGGAAAGAAAAGCAGCAGGUUAAUACCCCGCUGUUCUGACGGUACCCAAAGAAUAAGCACCGGCUAACUUCGUG
RNAcentral lists this ribosomal RNA (492 nucleotides) under uncultured bacterium. Its description in RNAcentral is "partial 16S ribosomal RNA". It matches the Rfam family "Bacterial small subunit ribosomal RNA", at positions 29 to 507 of the family's 1533-position model. The record is from RNAcentral.